Molecule: ribosomal RNA, 226 nt
Filed under: uncultured soil bacterium
Lineage: Bacteria
Description: partial 16S ribosomal RNA
Rfam family: Bacterial small subunit ribosomal RNA
Source: RNAcentral
AGAAUCAACGCUGGCGGCGUGCCUCAGACAUGCAAGUCGAACGCGAAAGUCCCCUUCGGGGGACAAGUAGAGUGGCGCACGGGUGAGUAACACGUAGGUAAUCUACCUUCGGAUGGGGAAUAACAAUCGGAAACGGUUGCUAAUACCGCAUAAUGCAGCGGCACCUAAUGGUGACAGUUGUUAAAGCGGGGGAUCGAAGCCUCGACGUCUGAAGAGGAGCCUGCGG